RNAcentral lists this long non-coding RNA (323 nucleotides) under Vulpes vulpes (red fox). Its description in RNAcentral is "lncRNA (ENSVVUG00000011790.1)". Lineage: Eukaryota; Metazoa; Chordata; Mammalia; Carnivora; Canidae. The record is from RNAcentral.
UCAUUCUAUCAGAAAUAGAAUCUAUUUCUUCUAUUUUAUCCUUGUAAUUUCUCUGUUCCACAAUAUUCUUUCUCUGGCAGCCUUGGGAUUUGUCUUGACUGAGGCAACUUGUAUGUGCAGUGGAAGGACACUAAGCUGGGUUACAGAGAUCAGAAGAAUGGACCCGUGUCAAGUGCUUUGUCUUCUGACUAAUGAUGAUGGGCUUGAGUCUCCUAGAACUUUCCCCAGCAAAAUAACCCUGUGCUGGUUCUCCUUUCCUGUGCUGAAGAACGGCCUGCCUUCCUCUGCUUUGGUCCGGUCCUGGCAGAUGAUGACCGAUCUUC